Molecule: non-coding RNA, 552 nt
Organism: Arachis ipaensis
Lineage: Eukaryota; Viridiplantae; Streptophyta; Magnoliopsida; Fabales; Fabaceae
Source: RefSeq, a predicted model, not a curated record
UCCCCCUCUCUUAACCAGUUAACCCUAAAGGCCUCCCCAGUCUCACGAUUCAUCAACUCAUCAUCAACACUCAUCAGCCAGCCACCACCAGCUGCAGCAGGCAGCAGCUCCUACCAUCGCGGAACUCCUCUCAUCCGCCGGAGCUCACCGUCGCCGCCGGAAUUGUGACUGACAGAGGGUUCCGACGCCGAACGUCUCUUCCACUCACCCUCUUCUCCUCGCCGUGGAAUCUCUGCUCGGAGCUCUUCUCGUUGCCGUCGCGAACUGCUCCUGCUCGGCUGUCGUCUCCUCGCCGUAACGAGCUCUGUUUCCGGCAUCUCUCUCUUCAAUCUCUCUCUCUCUCUAUCUCUACGAGGUCAGUGUCAGCGCCGUGUUUCUCCGAGCUCACACUGUCACCACCGUUCCUCCCUCGGCGUCUCACCGUUAGGGUUUGAGUUUAGGGUUUGGGUGAUGAUGGCGUUCUUCAGUGGAGCUCAACGAUUUCUUCGCCAGUCUUCUUCAGUUGUGGCCUCCCACUUCACCUCUACUCGUUUCACUUCGACUCUUACUUCC